This is a long non-coding RNA of Astyanax mexicanus (Mexican tetra), 2844 nucleotides long. RefSeq lists it as uncharacterized. The record is from RefSeq and is a predicted model, not a curated record. The transcript has 5 exons. Lineage: Eukaryota; Metazoa; Chordata; Actinopteri; Characiformes; Acestrorhamphidae.
CUAAAUAUAUCUGCGUACUUGGUGGUUGAGACAAUGGACCAUGAACAUAGUGUUAGGCUGUGCUUCUGGAUCCUUGUGAAACCAGUACCAGACUAUAACUGUUGCUGUGUUCUGUCCACAACAACACUAAAACCUAAAAAUAUGAAUUUAAAUAUUUAUAUUAUGAUUUUUAAUAGUUCUUUCACAAAUUGCCAUGUUCUGCUCACAACAACACUAAAACCCUAAGAAACUGCUCUUAAAUAUUUAUUAUUUUAUGAUCUGGCUUUUUAAAAUUAUCUUUAUCUAAUGCUAAAUAGGUCUGCGUACUUGGUGGUUGAGACAAUGGACCAUGAACACAGUGUUAGGCUGUGCUUCUGGAUCCUUGUGAAACCAGUACCAGACUAUAACUGUUGCUGUGUUCUGUCCACAACAACACUAAAACCUAAAAAUAUGAACUUAAAUAUUUAUAUUAUGAUUUUUAACAGUACUUUUACUAAUUGCUGUGUUCUGCCCACAACAACACUAAAACCCUAAGAAACUGCUCUUAAAUAUUUAUUAUUUUAUGAUCUUUUUUCUGACUUUUAUUAAUUAUCUUUAUCUAAUGCUAAAUAUGUCUGCGUACUUGGUGGUUGAGACAAUGGACCAUGAACAUAGUGUUAGGCUGUGCUUCUGGAUCCUUGUGAAACCAGUACCAGACUAUAACUGUUGCUGUGUUCUGUCCACAACAACAAUAAAACCUAAAAAUAUGAUCCUAAAUAUUUAUAUUAUGAUUUUUAAUAGUUCUUUCACAAAUUGCCAUGUUCUGCUCACAACAACACUAAAACCCUAAGAAACUGCUCUUAAAUAUUUAUUAUUUUAUGAUCUGGCUUUUUAAAAUUAUCUUUAUCUAAUGCUAAAUAGGUCUGCGUACUUGGUGGUUGAGACAAUGGACCAUGAACAUAGUGUUAGGCUGUGCUUCUGGAUCCUUGUGAAACCAGUACCAGACUAUAACUGUUGCUGUGUUCUGUCCACAACAACACUAAAAACCUCAAAAUAUGAACUUAAAUAUUUAUAUUAUGAUUCUUUUAUAGUUCUUUCACAAAUUGCCAUGUUCUGCUCACAACACUAAAACCCUAAGAAACUGCUCUUAAAUAUUUAUUAUAUUAUGAUUUGACUUUUAUUAAUCAUCUUUAUCUAAUGCUAAAUAGGUCUGCGUACUUGGUGGUUGAGACAAUGGACCAUGAACAUAGUGUUAGGCUGUGCUUCUGGAUCCUUGUGAAACCAGUACCAGACUAUAACUGUUGCUGUGUUCUGCUCACAACAACACUAAAACCUAAAAAUAUGAUCCUAAAUAUUUAUAUUAUGAUUUUUAACAGUACUUUUACUAAUUAGUGUGUUCUGUCCACAACCACACUAAAACCUAAAAAUAUGAAUUUAAAUAUUUAUAUUAUGAUCUUUAACAGUACUUUUACUAAUUAGUGUGUUCUGUCCACAACAACACUAAAACCUAAAAAUAUGAUCCUAAAUAUUUAUAUUAUGAUUUUUAACAGUACUUUUACUAAUUGCCAUGUUCUGCCCACAACAACACUAAAACCCUAAGAAACUGCUCUUAAAUAUUUAUAAUUUUAUGAUUUGACUUUUAUUAAUUAUCUUUAUCUAAUGCUAAAUAGGUCUGAGUACUUGGUGGUUGAGACAAUGGACCAUGAACAUAGUGUUAGGCUGUGCUUCUGGAUCCUUGUGAAACCAGUACCAGAUUAUAACUGUUGCUGUGUUCUGUCCACAACAACACUAAAACCUAAAAAUAUGAUCCUAAAUAUUUAUAUUAUGAUUUUUAACAGUACUUUUACUAAUUGCUGUGUUCUGUCCACAACAACACUAAAACCUAAAAAUAUGAACUUAAAUAUUUAUAUUAUGAUCUUUAACAGUACUUUUACUAAUUGCUGUGUUCUGCCCACAACAACACUAAAACCCUAAGAAACUGCUCUUAAAUAUUUAUUAUUUUAUUAUCUUUUUUCUGACUUUUAUUAAUUAUCUUUAUCUAAUGAUAAAUAGGUCUGAGUACUUGGUGGUUGAGACAAUGAACCAUGAACAUAGUGUUAGACUGUGCUUCUGGAUCCUUGUGAAACCAGUACCAGAUUAUAACUGUUGCUGUGUUCUGUCCACAACAACACUAAAAACCUAAAAAUAUGAUCCUAAAUAUUUAUAUUAUGAUUUUUAACAGUACUUUUACUAAUUAGUGUGUUCUGUCCACAACAACAAUAAAACCUAAAAAUAUGAUCCUAAAUAUUUAUAUUAUGAUUUUUAAUAGUUCUUUCACAAAUUGCCAUGUUCUGCUCACAACAACACUAAAACCCUAAGAAACUGCUCUUAAAUAUUUAUUAUUUUAUGAUCUGGCUUUUUAAAAUUAUCUUUAUCUAAUGCUAAAUAGGUCUGCGUACUUGGUGGUUGAGACAAUGGACCAUGAACAUAGUGUUAGGCUGUGCUUCUGGAUCCUUGUGAAACCAGUACCAGAUUAUAACUGUUGCUGUGUUCUGUCCACAACAACACUAAAACCUAAAAAUAUGAAUUUAAAUACUUAUAUUAUGAUCUUUAACAGUACUUUUACUAAUUGCUGUGUUCUGCCCACAACAACACUAAAACCUAAAAAUAUGAGCAAAUAUUUAAUACAAAUAAAGCUUAAUUAGUCCUCCGAAGAGGGGGGGUGGUGGCGGGCCCAAAAAAACCCAGACAUAUUCAUAUAAAAAUCUGCUCUUAAAUAUUUAUUAUAUUAUUAUCUUUUUUUCUGACUUUUAUUAAUUAUCUUUAUCUAAUGCUAAAUAGGUCUGCGUACUUGGUGGUUGAGACAAUGGACCAUGAACAUAGUGUUAGGCUGUGCUUCUGGAUCCU